Molecule: long non-coding RNA, 22390 nt
Filed under: Setaria viridis
Lineage: Eukaryota; Viridiplantae; Streptophyta; Magnoliopsida; Poales; Poaceae
Description: long non-coding RNA (SVIR_LNC011158)
Source: RNAcentral
AAGGAGCCAGAGCUACCAAAAGCACAUCACCCUGAAGAUUUGCAGAGCCAUCUCCGUGAGCGGAGGGCCGGAGGGUCGGAGAGAUGCUGGUGUUGGACUUGGGCGUAUGGUUCAUCCCACUGACGCUCGUCCUCGUCCCGUGCCGCCGGAUCGUGCUUCUCCUGUCCAGGCUCGAGGAGCUCCGCCGGAUCAUGGCGCGGCCGAGGCUCGCCACCGCGGACAUCUGGACCCGCUUCGCCACCCUCAACUCCAUGGCUUUCAUGGUGUGAUGGUACACACGCCGCCGCCGCUCCAUCCAUAGCUGUUUCCUCAUUGGUUGGGUGUGCUUUGCUGUCCUGGUUUUUGGCUUAUCACAAUAAGCCCCAGCUUCUGGGAAUGGGAUGUACAUACGGCUACUUACUUUUAGGACUUGCCGCAGCAUGUGUAUGUGGGACGAGAUGCAGAUGAGGACUUUAUUUACAGUGCUUCUGACAAGAGUUUCCUGAUCUUUAUAUGAUGCGUGUAUACUUGCUUCAAUUUCAACCUGAGGUUUUUCUGAACAAGCAUGCUUUUGUAGUUUUUGUUAUCGCCUGAUGAUAGAAUUUUCUGCAUAUCUUGAGUUGUUAUCAGUUUAUCACCUGAUACAAUAAGAAUAGUUGGCAGAGCUGGAUCUUUCAGGGGAAGGGAUAAAAGAUGCAGUGGGCAAAUUAUUGCAUCAGUCGGCAUGAACAGGCCUGAGAAGAUAAGGAUCAAGCUGGGCAGAUUCUGCUGAUUUUGAAAAGCAUCCCGUGCUUAGAUAACAUGAGAAGCCGGUCGCUGUGAAACGGAACACUGGACAGCAGACCAUAUAAUAAGUGGUCUACCUUGGACGAAUGUCUUCCUUGGCCCCCUAAAAGAAAAGAUAUACAUGGUGCUGUCAUCGUUUAGAUGAUGAUAAGGUCGACCCACAGGCCACUAGAGCACAAACUCCACCGAGGCACUGAGCAAUGCCUAAACUAGACUCAUCAUUCUGCAAAAGAUGUGCCUUACCGACAGUCAACUAAUCAAACUGGUUUUCGAUAGCCGUGCGUGUAAGGAAGGAGGAAACUAGGGAUGGCAACGGGGUGAGUCGGGGUCGGGUGAAGCUUCCGCGGACCCACCCCCAAAACACAAAUUGUAAAUCCAUCCCGAACCGAAACACCAAUUGGGUGGAAAUGUUGCCCCGACCCCGAAACCCGCGGGUGCCCGAAACCCGGCGGGUCCCUCGACACCCGCGGGCGAGGGGCGCAGCCGGUGCGCGUGGCUAAGGGGGCGGGGUGGAUAGGCCACGGGCGGAGAGGGGAACCGAGGGAGAGGGAGGGGGCAGCGCUCGGGGCCUCGGGGGCGAGGGGCGUGGGCAGCCGGCAUGAGGGCGCGGGCGGCGCUCGCGGCGAGGGGCGUGGGCGGCGCUUGCGGCUCGGGCGGUCGACGUGGGGCGCUCGUGGUGAGGACGGCUGGCGGGGGGAACUGGCGGCGCGAGGACGGCCAGCGGGGGGCGCCAGCGGCGCUCUGGCGAGGGGGCGACAUAGGGAGCCUGUAGAUGAAUCUAAGGUGCGACGCAGGGUGAUGGAUGGAGUGGGGAGUCAUAUAGGCCCUGUUUGGCAUGGCUCCAGCUCUGGGUGGAGCUGCUCUACUCCAAAACUCCAGGUAGAGUCAGCUCCACUCCAGAACUUCAGAAAUAAAAUGGGGUGUUUGGCUAGAUGGGUACUCUCAGCUCCAAAAAAAAAUCAAUUUCAGUGUUAAUUGCCAUUGUUGCCCCCAAUUCAGACCCCACUUGUCAUCCUCUCCCCCUCCUUUCUUCCUCCUUUCUUUUUCCUCUCUCUGCUGUUGCCCACUGCUCACCCGAAGGAAGAGGAGGGGAAGGCACCAGCAGGUGGGUGGUGCUGCCGGCGGCAGGAGGUGCGGCCGGUGGCGGGGCUCGGGCGGGCGGCGGGGGGUGCGACCGGCGGCGGGGCUCGGGCAGGCGGCGGGGGGUGCGACCGGUGGCGGGGCUUGGGCAGGCGGCGGGGGGUGCGACCGGCGGCAGGGCUUGGGCGGGCGACGGCAGGGGCAGCCGGCGGCGGGGGGUGCGACCGGCGGCGGGGCUCGGGCGAGCAGCGGGGGGUGCGGCCGGUGGCGGGGCUCGGGCGGGCGGCGAUGGGGGCGGCCGACAGCGGGGAUCGGGCGGGCGGCGGGGGUUGCGGCCGGCGGCGAGGGUAGGGCGGACAGCGGUGGGGGCGACCGGCAGCGGGGCUCCAAGGCCGGAGCGCGCGGGACGGAGGGGCCACGGCGGCCGGCGGCGGGAGCGAUGGGCGGCGCUAGCGCGGUGGAGACCGGUAGAGACGAGCGCGUGGAGUCUCGGAGGAAAAUAGAACGAACCGUUUUUUCUAUGUAACCAGUGGUAUUGGUGGGUAAUUAUCCACCAACUCCACGAGGAGGUUCAAAAGAGUGGUUUCUGGAGUAGCAAAAGAGGUGCUCCAAAACUCCACCUCCAUUUGCACUACAGCUCCAUGGAGUUGGCUGCUCCAUGGAGUUUUGGAGUUGAGGUGUUUGGCUGGAUUUUUUGGUGGAGUUGCUGGAGUUCUGGAGUGGAGCCAUGCCAAACAGGGCCACCAAAAGAGGUGUUUGGCAUGGCUCCACUCCAGAACUCCAGCAACUCCACCAAAAAAUCCAGCCAAACACCUCAACUCCAAAACUCCAUGGAGCAGCCAACUCCAUGGAGCUGUAGUGCAAAUGGAGGUGGAGUUUUGGAGCACCUCUUUUGCUGCUCCAAAACUCUCUAUUUCGAACCUCCUCGUGGAGUUGGUGGGUAAUUACCCACCAAUGCCACUGGUUACACAAAAAAACGUUUCAUUCUAAUCCUCCCGAGCUCCCACCCGUGCCUAUUUUCCCACCCCCGUCACCUGUCACCUACCGCCUCCCCGCCGCCCGUUGCCGCCCCGCCUGCCGUCCCGCCCCCGUCGCCGACCCCAUGGCCGCCUCCCCGCCGCCCUUCGCCGCCCCAUCCCGCCGCCCCACCCCCCUCGCCGCCGUCGCCAAGCCCCACCUGCCCCCGUCGCCGCCGUCGCCGAGCCCCGCCCGCCCUCGUCGCCGUCGUCGGCCCCGUGGCCGCCUCCUCGCCGCCCCGCCCCCGUAGCCGCCGUCGCCGCCCGUGGCUGCCCCGCCCCGCCCCGCCGCCCGUCACCGCCCCGCCCCCGUUGCCGCCGUCACCGGCCCCGUGGCCGCCCCGCCGCCGUCGCCGCCCAGCCCGCCAUCGGCCGGCCCCGUCGCCGCCCAGCCCGCCCACGUCUGCUCCUUUUGCCUGCUGCCAGCACCUUGCUGCAGCUGCCGCCCAAGUCCGCUCCUUUUCCUGCUGAUGCCGCGCUUGCUUGGUGAGCAGAACGUGGCAGGAGAAGAAGAUGGGAUAGAGAGGAUGACAAGUGGGGCCUAAAUUGGGGGCAACAAUGGCAAUCCACACUGAAAUCGAUCUUUUUUGGAGUUGAGAGCACCCAUCUAGCCAAACACCCCAUUUUUUCUAGAGUUCUAGAGUGGAGCUGGCUCCACUUGGAGUUUUGGAGUGGAGCCGCUCUACUCGGAGUUGGAGCCAUGCCAAACAGGGCCAUAGUUAGGGUUUUUGUUGGGCUGGGCCUAAUUUUUGGGCUGAAAUAUACAUUGUAGGGCCCCGCGGGUGGAAUUGUAAACCCGACCUCGCACCCGCCCAAACCUGAAACCCACGGGGGGGAUUCCGGACCCGCCUCCACCCCCGUCGGGUCUGAAACCCGUGGAUCUCGAGUCCAGACCUGCCCGAUUGCCAUCCCUAGAGGAAACAUGGUUGCCUAUCUUGGCCGGCCACGGUUGCGCGUUUAUAAAGGGUGAAAACCACCAAGAAAUUUACAUGGGUACAAUUGUGAUCACCUAGAACUCAUUUGCCUCAUAACUUGAAUUACAAGUAGAACCUAUCUCUAAGUAAUCCGUGUACAAUUGUGAUCACUAGGACUCAUUUGCCUCAUAACUUGAAUUACAAGUAGAACAGCAAUCCAUGUGUGGCGGAACACCUCGGAUUAACUCAACUAAAGUACGGUUAAGUCACUUAACACGCGAAUCUCAUGUUUUAAUCAAGUUAACUCGACGAUCCGUCGGAUUUCAUCCGAUUUAACCACUUAACAGGACCGAGUUAGCAUAGCUCACACGAAGGUGAGUGGUUACAGAGAAUACAAUAGAUCCACAAUUAGUUCAACAAUUCAUUACACGCUGGUUUAAAACUCUAAGGUUCGAAAAACAACUGAAGUUAGAAUAUAGCGGAAGCUAGCACCGAGGGUCGGAUAUCCCUGAUGAGGCUAAACAGGACAUCAGUGAUCCCAUUCCUCGCCGUCCGAGGAAGGAUCCCACUCAACCGUCCACCCAGGAGGAAGCUGGGGCGACCAAGUGCCAACAGCAGCACGCUCGGAAGUUUCAACUUCACCUGAAAAGAGAUGCCACAACAAGGCUGAGCUUCUAAGCUCAACAAGACUUAACCGACCGGUGGGAAAAAACUACUCCACCACUUCUAGAUAUGCAAGGCUCUGUGGCUGAGGGGUUUUGUUUGCCAAAAACAACUAUGUUAGGUCCUUACUUUCAAAGUUUCAGCUCAGAUUCUAAGUUCAUUAACCAGUCUAUAUUGGCAACUUAUACUAAACAAGCAUAGACCCCAACAUUAUGUGUAUAAACUCAACGGCAAGUUCAUGUCAUCAUCAGAUUCCUUCUUUACUCAGUGUAGCAUAGCGAUCAAGCAGUCUCAAACUGUGAGAGGCAGACGAAUCGAUUCAAGUUCCUUAACCAUGCAUGGCGAAUCUAACCUCACGACAUCCGCGCACCACCGAGGGUCGCUUGCUGUGUCGGCCGUCCCCAUCAAUUCCCUAACUCAUGUCGGACCCACUUCCCUUGGUGCAAGGUUCUACAGACCCGGCCUCUGCCGUUCCGUGACCACACUUGCCACCACAUGCGGCCGCAGGGGAAACUCCGUUCCAGAGACAGUGGAUCGAACCGCUCACGUCCAGGUUCAAUCCGGUACUAGGCUUCCCCAUCCCAUAAUGGGUAUGAGAUUAGUACUUUCAAACACUUGAUCACGAACACUACCACUGUCGGGCCUUAAACAGAUUCAAGUAAAUAGACGGGGCGAUCAGCCGACCACCAAAAGAGUUCACCAAGCCCUGCCCCGUCCAUCGUCCUUAUAGUUGUAACCAGAGGGAGAACAACCAACUCCUAUAACUCGCGAGUGACAGGAAAUCACUCGACUUCUGCCGAGCCCUAUUAAGCAGUGCAACUACUCGGACUCAACAGACUAGUGUGCAGAUCAAGGGAACUAAGUCAUGCAUCUAUGGUUUCAAACAACUCCUAUACGUAAAUGCACAUACAUGUGAAGGAAGGCAUGCGCAAGUUUAGAAAGUUGGGUGCAUGCUCCGGGGCUUGCCUUCAAGCGGGGUGGAGGCAAACUGGUCCUUAGCGGUUUCUGCUUCAGCUCCGGCGGUCGGCAGCUUAGCUACUGCUCCGUCUUCUGGCGUCGGAUGCAGUUCGUAGGUGCCGUCGGCGAGAUUUAGCUCUACACAAAUGCAAUGCAAGAGUUAGCACUUAGAUGGUUAUUUCAACAACACUUGCACGUUUAGCUCAGACACUUGUAGCAAAGCUAAAGGAAAGGCGGAUGAGUCCAGCUUCAGUUGGUGGAGCACAGGAUAAAAGGGUCGGAUGGGGAGAAACUUAUGAUCUGACCCUUAUACUUUAAGGAAUAACUGUACCGGGGUCCUCAGACUUAACACAGAGAAGUCCCCAAAAUUUUACACAGAUACCCUCGGGUCAAAGAAUAGAUACAGCCGAGCCCUCGGGCGAAGCGGAUAAGGCUCGGCGAACCAGGCAGGGUUGGGUGAGACGGAAAAAAAAGGGAUCGGGCGAACCAGACAGGGUCGGCAGUUUACCUUUAGGCCUACUGGUGAAGUCUUGGGAUCGGGAAGGAACAGACUCAGGCGGAAAGACUAAAGCGCUAAGGCUUGGAUGGCGGCGAGGUUCGACGGUGCUCCGGCGGCGGCGGUGCUUCUUGUGGACAACAAGGAAGCUCUAGCACCGUGCAGAGGAUCAGGCGGUUGGUGGGAUGGGGAGAAGCGGGUUUGAGCGGAGAGGGGAACUUCUCAAGAGCUCAAGCGGCAGUGCUCAAGUGCGAGCAGAGUGUGGUGCGGCAAAACAGCGAUGGCGAAGGAAACUCCGGUAGGGGCUCUGGUACUCCUUUUUAUAGCUGCGCGGAAGAGAGAGAGAGAGAGAGAGAGAGAGAGAGAGAGAGAGAGAGAGAGAGUUUGAGUAGCGCAAAAAUCGGGAAGAAAAGGAUAUAGUGCUCUGCCUUGGUAGCGAUUGAGCAGUGAUGGGCAGCAAAGCAGAGCUUCGGGGAUAGGGUCUUUGGCCAUUGGGCACUGGAGACAAAGCCGGCGCAGGCGCUGUUUUGCUGGGAUUAAGAGUUGGUGAAAGCGAGCAGGGUCUAGUCACGUCAAGCGGCGGAUUGUGGGCGGCGACUUGACUGGCGUGUAAUAGGAAGGAAGGCGCUACAAGCGAGGUCGUAGCAGGCAAGGUGACAGGAUGAGCGGCGGCGCGAGCGAGCGCAAAAUAGCGGCUUGCCAGGGCACAUCACUGGUGAGGCGGAAAAAGGAGUUGUCCCUGCCGGAGCCAUGGUUGGUGAGGGCGGUAUCAUCAUGGAGCGCGCUCGUGGGCGGCUCGACUGUGGAGAGGCGGAAAAGCCGGAAAGCAUCGGGGCGCGCGAUCGGGGAUCCGGACGAGGUGAUGGGUGCGGGAUGCAAGGCGGUCUGGCGCGGCAGCGGCAAAACUUCUGCCACGGUGGCGACAGGGCACCUUAGCGCGGCCGGCGAGGGUGCGAGCGAGACGAGGCGAGGCAUAAAUGGCUGCAGGGGCUUUUGCUGCGAUUGGGAGGAAGGCGCACUGAUCUAUCUUGUCGCGGUUGGCGACUAAGCGAGGCGGCGCACGUCGGAGAGAUCGAGCCACGCGGCGGGGAAGCUCUGAAGUGGGGCACACGCUGGCUCUGGCGCGUUUAACUCAAGAAAACCGGGGAUCUGGUUGUGGGUCCACCACUCAGUCUCUGGUUCUCCCACAGCUCUAAGAUUUUUGGAGGGGCGCUGCUUCGGGACUUAGAGAAGAGCUGUCGUUUGCCGGUUGGUGCGGUUUUAGGGGUCGGACCGGUGGAACUGCAGAUUGGGAUUAGCCUUGAGAUUAACUAGGCUAGUUAACCAGGGUCGUUACACCGUGUCUAUCUCUAGGACCACAACAGCAGCUAACUUGUUACAAACAUAUUUCUAACAUCCUCCCUCAAUCUAAACUUCUCUUCCUUUUGAGAUUUACAUUGUACUUGAAAUCUUCUAGUUUGCCAGCUGAUAAGGCAUUAGUAAAUUGUAGCAAAUGUGGCCUCAUUAAGCUAUAGUUUUUUUUAUUUUGGUGAUUGAGUGACAACAUAGUUAUUGAGACUAAUGCUUUCUGUAACAUGUACCUUGUAGGUUAUCUAGGUCCCAAGAAUGCAAACCAAAUCAUGGCAAGACCCAAAUGAUGCUAUUCGAGUAUCCAAGUCAUAGUAUUCAAGUAUGCAAGAUAUGGUAUUUAAAUAACCAAUCCAUGGUAUUUACGAUUAUUCUAUGGUAUUGAAACAUCCAAAUGAUAGAGAAAAACUAGAGAGAAGGAAAAAUGAUAAUUCUAGACCAUCGAAGUGACGGUAUAUUUGGUGCUUGCUUUGGACGAGUUAGAAGAAAAAAUGCACCAUCAGAUGUUCCGAUACCCCACCAAAGCAAGUGUCGGACUAACCAUCCGAGCAAUUGGUACAACUGGGAAAAUAGGGAAAAAUCUCGAGUGCACCGGAUGAUCCGAUGGGGGUCAUUUUACAAGCGUCGGAGCAAUUCGCUGAGGAAUAGCAACGGAUGUUCCGAUACCCUAUGUAGUUGACCGUCGGAUGAAGCAUAUUUACUUUGAAAUCACACAUAAGGUUUUGAUCAGAAUGCCCUUAGCACCGGAUGAUCUGAUGGCACCAUCAUAGAAAGCAUCGGAUCAAUGAUGUUAGGGGCAUCCAAUGGCUAUAUGACGUGAGCAGUGGCACCGGAUGAUCUGAUGGGGGUAUCGGAUAAAGCGUCGGGUGAAUUUCUAAGGAAUUUGGGUGCGGGGAGUCCAACGGCUAGUUGCACCGGAUGUUCCGAUGCAGGCCAAAAAUAGACCAUUGGAACAUCCGAUGGUAUGCUUUUUUACUAGCCAUUGGAGCUAUGGCUCUUUGAGCCCUUGGGGGCUAUUUAUACCCCCACCACUCGCCCAUUUGAAGUUGCUAGAGUGUCUAGGGAUGCAUUGAAGACCAAGACUCAUCAAGAACACAUCCAGUUCGUAAGUGAUACAUCAAAGGCUUAGCACAAGCUUAGGAGAGUGAUUAGUGCUAGGAUAGGCCUAGAGAGGAGUGAGUGCAAGGUGUGCUGAUGUUGUGAUCAGGUUCUAGAGUGAACCACUGCUAUACAAGAGGUGUGCUGGAGCCUUGGAACCUUGGUGGCUCGCCAGCAAGUCUUCGACCCUCCGACUUGGUGUGGAGCGGCAUCGACAACCUUGUGUGAGGGACGCGGAGACCCUCUUCCUUCGUGGAGAAGCUCCUUAGUGAAAAUGGCAUCAAGGUGAUCGAAGAACUUGGCGUGUUCCUUAGUGGCCGAGCCUUUGUGGCAAGUCAAGGGAUACCUUGGGAGAGACUUGGUGAUCGGGAAGCAAUACUCUUGUGUGAGUGCUUCAACAACAUGGACUAGUGGUGGCUUAGUGCCUAUUGAUACCACGGGAUAAAUCAUCGUGUCAAGAGUUUGUUUCCCCUCGUCCCCUUCUUACGUUUUCGCAUUUCAUACUUGCAACUUGUGUGCCUUUACUUUCCUAGAGUAGUAUCUUGAUAGGAUUGGCUAUAGGUUGCAAAACUUGUUUUGGGAUGAGGGUUUCAUACUAGAUCAACCAUAGACUGCACAUCUAGAUAGCAUGAUCUAGUUUAUGUUUUAAUGCAAAGUAGUGGAAGUCAUAGGUUAAGUUUUUAAGUUGCCUAAUUCACCCCCUACCCCUCUUAGGCUACGAGCACCGAUUCCUUUCAUAAAUCUAUCUGCAACUUGAUCAUGAGUAGACACUAAUCUAACUUGUAAUUGUUUCUUGGUGACUCUCUCGAACAAAGUGAAAAUCAAUUUCAAUAUGUUUUGCUUGAGCAUGAAAAACUGGAUUUGCUGAAAGAUAAGUAGCUCCCAAAUUAUCACACCAUAAAAUAGGCGGCUGUUGCAAUUGUAUUCCAAGUUCUAGCAACAAAGACUCCAGCCAAAUCAACUCUGUAGCAGCAUUGGCCAUAGACUAUAUUCUGCUUCAGUACUAGACCUUGAGAUCGUAGCUUGCUUUCUAGCACUCCAAGACACAAGAUUAGGACCAAAAAAUAUUGCAAAUCCUCCAGUAGAUUUUCUAUCAUCAACACUACCAGCACAAUCAGCAUCAGAGCAAACACCCAAAGUCAUUGAACUUGACUUCUUUAUGUAUAACCUAACAUCCAAUGUAAAUUGCACAUAACGAAGAAUUCACUUAACAGCAGUCCAAUGAAUAGACAUUGGUGCAUGCAAAAAUUGGCAUACCUUCUUGACUAAAAAAGCCAGAUCAAACCGUGUAAGAGUGAGAUACUGUAACGCCCCAACUAGACUCCUGUAAUGUGUGCUAUCCUCUGGGCCCAGCGGUUCACCGGCAAAACUUGAGAGCUUUUUAGAACUUGACAAUGGUGUUGAAGAGCCUUUACACUUCACUAUACCAACUCGUGUUAGAAUCUCUUGUGCAUACUUUUCUUGAGAUAGUAACAAUCCUUCUUUAUUUCUUUGAACCUCAAUGCCCAAGAAGUAAUUCAAGUUACCAAGAUCCUUUAGAGCAAAUUCUUUCCUCAAAUCCAAGAUUAAGGGCGAAACAGCUUCACUAGAUGAACUAGUGACAAUGAUAUCAUCAACGUAUAUAAGCAUAUAAAUAAUAAUUCCUAAUUUUUGAUAAAUAAAUAGAGCAUUAUUUUAUUUUGAAGCUAUAAACCCAAUGUCAAUAAGCUUAGAACUUAACAUCGCGUACCAGGCACGUGGAGCUUGUUUCAAACCAUAAAUUGCUUUAUCAAGUCUACAAACUAGAUGUGGCACAUCACAUCUUUCAAAAGCCGAGGGUUGUUUCAUAUAUACCUCCUCUUCCAGAACACCGUGUAAGAAUGCAUUCUGAACAUCCAACUAUCUUAAACACCAACCUCUAGAAAUAGCCAAAGACAAAACAACUAUCUCCAAUAUUGAAGGUCUAGCACUGAAGACAAAACAAUCUUGACAACCGAACUAAAUGUAUCCUCAUAAUCAAUUCCAUAUCUCUGCCGAAAACCCUUUGCUACCAAACGUGCCUUGUAUCUGUCAGUUGUCCCAUCAGCCUUCCUCUUGACCUUGUAUACCCAUUUGCAGUCAAUUAGAUUGCAGCCAUAUUUGGGUUCAACUAAAUGCCAAGUAGUGUUUCUAAGUCAUGUCAAAAAUUCCUCUUGCAUAGCUUAUCUCCACCGUGAAUUAUUUAGCGCUUCUUGUAAACUUUUAGGUUCUCUACAGAAGUUCCCAUAUCAAAUAGUCCCAUCUGUAAACCUUUUGGGUUUGACAAUAUCAUGUUGAAUGCAUGUGCGUCAUUAGGAAGGGACAUCAGACUCAACUUGCUGCACCGGCAAACUAGAUCUGACGGGAGGCAUAGAGAAUCCGGCGAAAGACCCUGUCGACGCGGCGGGAGACACUGUCGGCGUGGCAGCGGGAGACUAGACGCCACGCGGCAGCAGCAAAUAGGUAGGCAGAGAGGAACAACUGCGAGCGGUUGAGCGGGCCUGGGUGAAUGUAACAUCCGCAGAAAUCACCAACUAAAAUCACCCGUUAAAAAUCGCCUUUAAAAUCUUUUUACCGCUGAGCUCCCGGAAAUCGAGAAUUCCCCGGCGAUUUCGCCGUCCCGGCACCCAUGCCGACCCCUACCUUUUUAUCUGUGCCCGUAAAUCUCGCCGCGUGCCAUCGACAGACCGCCACGCGCGUGCUCCGACCACGCGCCGCAAUCGCCGCCGGUUCCCCCUCCCUCUUUCUUUCUCUUUUUCCUCCCCUUUCUUUUUCUUUUCCUUCUUCCUUUCUUCCUCCUUCUUCUUUCUUCUUCCUUCCUUCUUCCUUUCUUCCUCCUUCUUCUUUCUUCUUCCUUCCUUCUUCUCUUUCCUCUCUCUUUCUUCUUCCUGGUUGCUGGCGCCACUCCUCCCGGCUGGCCUCACCUCCACCACCGACCGGACCCCCCCUCCCCCGGCCUUAACUCCCGCCGGCCGCGCCGGCGCCCUCGGGAGGCGCGCCGCCCGUCGACCGGUCCCACGCCGGGACCCCGACGCCGGCCCCCUACCUCCCCUGCUCCACCUCCGGCCUGGCCACGGCACCGGUGCCGUGCCGGCCACCGCCGCCCGCCGCCCCUCGGAGCUCGAGCCCCUACCGCCGCCGGCCCAGCCUGCCCGGCCCCCACCUCCCUGCCGCGCGCCGCCCGCCAGUCGGACCCCCACUCCCUGCCGCCGGCCAUCACGCCACCGCCGGCCUAUAAAAGGGCACCGCCCGGCCAUCUCCCCACUCCAUCCGCCCGCCGCCUUGCUCCUUCCUUCACCAAGCACCACCACCACCCGUGCACCGCCGCCUGUGCCACUCCUCCCGUGCCGAGCCGCCGCCGCCGCCACCCGUACGCCGCUCGUGGCAAGCCGCCGCCACCUUGCCCACCGCCGGCCGCACCUCCCCCAUCUCUCACCCCCAAGGUAAGGGGCAAAAUGGGGCCCCCUCGACUCCCUCCACCGCCCCCUCCGCCCACGGCUCGCCGCCGGCGAAGCCCGGCCGGCCGGCCGCUGCCGGCCAAAUCUCUUCCCCACUCUCCCUCUCUCUGUUCCUGGGGAGAAGAAGAUAAGAUGCCCAGAUUUUCGAUCUGACCCCCUCUUUCUUCUAUUAGCAAAUGAGUCCUUCCACCACUCUCAAGAGAUUCUCAUGGAUAAGCCCCUCCACCUCCAUAAAUAUUUACAGAUAGGUCCCUGGUUUAGUACAAAACAGUCCUAAACCUCCUAUUUAAGCCCUAAUUCAUGUUUAACCCGUCAUUUCAUGCGCCAAACAUCCUCCAAUUAAUCCCAAAUUUCACCACGUCAUCCUCCAAAAUACUUUCGCCGAUCCAUAUCCAAAUUUUCCAAAAAUAAUCCUUCUACCUAUUUUCCGUUCACGUUUUCUGUUCCGAGCUCACGGUUAAAAACCGAUCUUUCUUUUAUUUAUUUGUGUGUCUGUUUGUGUGUGCCGUAGAUUGCGGAUUGCCCGAGGAGGAGCCCGAGGAGGAGUUUGACCGCGAGCCCGAGCCCGAGGACCAGUACCGCGUGCCGGAACUCCCGGAAGGCUUUGAAGACGGCAAGUCCAAUCUCACCCUUUGAUGCAUAUUUAAUACCUAGUUUUUCAAACACAACCCAUUGGCCUGUUUUACAAAUUGUAUAUUAUUUCAUCGCAAGACAUGGUUGGAUAGCCACCUCCUUGAUUGUUAUGAACAUUCCUUGCUAUCCUAUGGUUGUCUCUAAAUAUGACACGCUCUAUUUAGUCGAUAACCACCGCUAGAAUGCUUAGGAAAUUACUACUUAACUGCAAUCAUUAUUACAAUGGUGUAUUCGGAAAAUAAAUGUGUGUGUGUGUGUUCAAGUGAGAAAAAUGGCUUUUUGGGUUCAAGGGAAAAGGGUGUGUAGACAGGAUGGAUGGGUAUUCCUUGUGUGGGAUGCCAGAAUGUUGUGCUCGUACCUUGGUGGUUGAGCAAUGUCGGGAGAUAUCCAUCUUGUCGUGAUUAAGAACCGAGUUGAUGUGUCAUCUUUCCUAAUUCCACCAUCGUGCAACCACUUGACCGUUGUAUGGGCAACGGCUUAGCAUAAAUCCCACUAGCUGAAUUGUUAGUCCUCAGGGGUGCUGGUGAGCAACAGGAGCCCAUGGAAAAGGAGUAAGAUCUUGGUGACUUAGGUCCCGGUUACGGUCUCGUGGACGAGCCGUGAACCCCUUGGGUGCUUCCGCGAGGGCUAGCCAGUCUUAGCUAAGGUGGGUAAUGGCUUUGUUAGGAUCCGCACCGGUACUAAGGUGAUCGUGCUGCGGUACCCUACUUGUGGGAAAAGUGUACAACCUCUGCAGAGUUAAAACCUAUCCGGGUAGCCGUGUCCACGGCAUUGGGCGAGUUACGGCUUGGUCACAUAACUAGCACUUGGGCAUGGAUGGUCACGUGUGUGUGUGCGUGCGUGUGUGUUGGAUUUUCGGAAGUGUCCGGCAGCUGUGCCGUGAGCUAUGACGGACGGGGAGUCCGAUAGCGAUAAAAACUUGGAUCCUUUGUAUAGGAUCAACCCCACUCCUUGCUCGGUUACUAAAGCAAAGUUUUACAAAAAUUUAUUUGAAAACGAGCCUAUGCAUGUAUUAAAAUUUAGCUUUAUUGCAAAUGAACCUUAGCCUAUCCUUAUUAUACCCUGUGCAUAAACUUGCUUGUUUUCCCCUCCGUGGAUGGGGUUGGACUUGUUGAGUACGUUCGUACUCACCCUUGCUUCGUUGCUACAGAGGAAGACCCGGACUUCAUCGCCGAGGACCUUGAGUAGAGGUUGUGUCCGCACCCAACGCUGCCUGUGGUGUUGGCCUUUCCAAGAUGCUGCUGCUGCCGUGUAGUCCCGAGUGCUGUCUUUUGACAGUCGCUUGGUUAGCCGUUGUUCUUUAUUUACUGCUUAUCGCUGCGUGGCUUUCACGCCCACUCCCUCAGGAGUUGUACGGUAACUGAAUUAUCUGUCGAAUAAAUGUGUUAUCAGCCUCCUGGGACUGAUAUUUGUAUCACAUUUAGUCUCUACUUAUGUGGGGACGCUUCAGUGAGCCACCCCGGGAAUCAGUGCCCGAUCCGGCAGCGUGCGCAGGCGCAGGCGGAUCCGCCUGGGAUCCGAUGGUGGGAUCUUCUGCGGCAGGGACUUUAGCAACGCCCGAAUCAUUAACAUAGGCAACUUCUUCUCCAAUAUUGAGCUCCAAAUUUGAUGGAUUUAAUUCUUGCGCAUCACCAAUAUUCUCACCAGAACCAUUAGUAAUAUUAGUAACAUUAGGCACACAAUUUACAUCCCCAUAGCUAAGCAAAUGUGAAGGUAAAAGAAUAAUCUCUUUGCGCAAUUGAGCAUCAGCAUUAGGAUUAAGAUGAGCAAAAGGGAAAAAUGCUUCAUCAAAGACAACAUCCCUGGAGAUGUAGAUGCAGCCAGUCAAGAUGUCAAGGCAUUUAAAACCCUUGUGCAAGGCACUAUAUCCUAGAAAGGCACAGCGAAUAGAACGGAAGGCAAGUUUGCGUGAAUUGUAUAGCUGCAAGUUGGGCCAACAAGCACACUCAGAGACUCUUAGAGAUGUAUAAUCUGGAGUUUCUUGAAGGAGCCGAGAAACAGGAACAUCAUAGCAAUUAACUUUGCUAGGAAGGAGAUUAAUGAGAUAGGUAGCUGUAAGAAAAGCAUGAUCCCAAUAUUUCAAGGGCAUGGAUGCAUUAGCGAGGAGAGCAAGACCAACCUCAACUAUAUGUCGGUGCUUUCUUUCGGCAGCGCCAUUUUGUUGAUGAGCAUGAGAACAAGAAACUAGAUGUGUUAUUCCUAUGCGUUGAAAGAAGGAAUUCAACCUCUCAUAUUCUCCUCCCCAAUCCGAUUGGAGAGACUUAAUCUUCCGACUGAACUUUCUUUCUAAUAGUUGUUGGAAAUAUUGAAAAACUUGAAAGACAUCAGAUUUUUUUCUUUAGCAAAUAGAUCCAUGCAUAUUUGCUAAAAUCAUCAAUAAAGCUAACAUAGUAGCUAUGUCUCCCAACGAAUAAAGGAGUUGGUACCCACACGUCAGAAAAAAUUAAAUCAAGGGGAGAUUCAGAUGAACUUACAAAUAGAUUCAGAUGAACCUAAAUCAAGUUGGUGGCUCUUGACCAUUUGACAUGAAUUAGAAAUAGACUUUGAAUCUUUAACACUAGCACAUGGAAGUUUAUUCAAACUAAGAAUUUUUUCUACAAUAGGAAAAGCUGGAUGACCAAGUCUACUAUGCCAUCGAGUAGUUGAAGGUUUAUUGACUGCAAAGGCUUGUUUUCUGGAAUCUUCUGGAGACAGAUGAAAUCCUAAAGGAUAGAGACCACCUCGGGAUCUACCUUGAUGGAUGACUUUCUUUGUUUCCUAAUCCUUUAUACAAAAGAAAUUUGGAUGAAAUUUUAUGAAAGAAUCAUUAUCUUGAGCUAGCUUAUGAACAGAAACUAAAUUAUUGGUAGCACUAGGAACAUGAAGGAUAUUUUUUAAAACAAUAUUCUGGCUUGAAAUUAAUCCAAGAGCAUUAUAUAUGCAUGUGCAUCUCAUAGUCUGAAUCUCACUCUUUGUGAUAUGGCAAAAUCUUCCAAGAUAGCUAUUUCAUUCUUCGGUGUUAUACAAAGGAUAUAUUGUUUGUUUGCACGCUCUACUAAAAGGUGAAAAUAUUUGACUGAUAAUGUUGAGAGGUGUCAAAUAAAAAGUGUGCAACCUAUCAGGUAUCAAGCCCCACAAAUAAUAUAAGCAUUGAAGGAAGUGGAAAGAACUGCUAUUGAUGACCCAAAAAUAGUAAGUGAUGCUCAAUCAUUGGCAACUGCACUUGAGAAAUUUGAAUUUAUAGUUGGUAUGGUUAUCUGGGAUGAUAUUUUAUCUACUAUCAACAUGGUGAGCAAAAAGUUACAAUCUAAGAUUGUGUGCUUAGAUGCUACUCUCAAACAUAUUGAGGGGCUCAUCUCAUAUUUCCAAAAGUAUAGAGAAGAAGGUUUCAAUGCUAGUAUUGAGAUUGCAAAAUCCAUUGCACCUAGUAUGGACAUAGAGCCAAAAUUUCCUACAAAACGCCAAGGUAAAAAAAAGAAGCAUUUUGAUGAACAAAAUGAUGAAACUGAAGAAUUACAACUUUCAGCUAUAGAUGAGUUCAAAGUUAGUUACUUCCUAGUUAUUGUGGAUGCUGCUAUUGCUUCAUUGACUAGUAGAUUUGAACAGCUAAAGAAAUUUGAAGAAAUAUUUGGUUUCUUAUUCAACUCAGAAAAUCUGAAGUCCUUGGAUGAUAAUGAUCUACGAAAGUGUUGCACUACUUUUGCAAAAUCUUUUUCUCAUGACAACAAGUCUGAUGUUGACUUGGAUGAUUUUUUCUCUGAAUUAAAAGUGUUGCAAGUAUCUUUGCCAGAACAAUUGAUGUCAGCAUCCGAGAUUCUUCAGUUUGUUAAAGCUGUAGAUUGCUAUCCGAAUGCCUCCAUUGCAUAUCGGAUUCUCUUAACUAUUCCAGUGACAGUAGCAUCAGCCGAGAGAAGUUUCUCCAAAUUGAAACUAUUGAGAAAUUAUUUGAGAUCAACUAUGUCACGAGAAAGAUUGAAUGGCUUGGCUAUGUGCAGGAUUGAGAAGGAUGUUUUGGACGACAUUAAUCUUGAUACCAUUCCUGAAGAUUUUGCAUCAAGAAAUGCUCGAAGAUGGUUUUUUACAAAGCACUGAAGCAUUAUAUUUUUAUUUAAGGUAAUCAUAAUGGUUAUUGUUUUUAGUUUUCUUGUUACACUAUUGUUAUAUUUUAUGAGCUAUAUAUAUUGCAAAGUAAUUUUUAUUAUUUGUACUGUAUACUUAAGUUUUCAAAUUAAAAAUUAGUUCAAGGGGUCCUUAUUUUCAUCUUGCCCAAGGGCCCUUGAUAUUAUAGAGCCGGCCCUGCUUGGUAGCGCGAGCGUGGGAUUAGAUGGUGACGCCAUAGGCUUGAUUUGGGAGGUUGUGGAUGUUUAUGGAAGAGGAUGCUCUAAUUACCAUGUAAGAAAGGAGUAAACGUGGUUGACUAUCUUGGCCGACCACGGUUGCGCGUUUAUAAAGGGUGAAAAUCACCAACAGAUUUACAUAGGUACAAUUGUGAUCAUCUAGGACUCGUUUGCCUUAUAACUUGAAUUGCAAGUAGAACGUAUCUCUAAGCAAUCCAAGCUAGGACCACAACCGCAGCUAACUUGUUACAAACAUAUUUCUAACAGUGUGCACCGAAAAAGUUGAUGCUGACCAUUGCAUGAAACUGGUUUGGGCGCUACUGGGCGGACUGUCAGGACUACUCCCCAGACCCACGAGUAGACCUUGGACAGCCCACUAAGGGACGUACUCGGACGUGAUCAGAACAAGGAUGGGCGUAUCCUACUCGGAGUAGUCUUGUAUGUUUGUGGAAAACUACUUGGGCCGAUACCAAGUAGAACUCUAUAAUAGUACCCGACUAGGACUCAGACUUGUAACCCUGCCCUCCCGUGUAUAUAAGGCCGGGCAGGGACCCCCCUCAAACAACAAUCCUCAAGACCAGAACGUACAUCAAUACAAACCAACACACAGGACGUAGGGUAUUACGCGAUCUAGCGGCCCGAACCUGUCUAAAUCGUGUUCCUUGCGUCACCAUUGAUUCCUUGAUUCUCGACAACCCUUACCGCACAAAAGACCACCUAGGGUACCCCUAGGCAGGUUGCCGGUCUAAAACACCGACACGGACCCCGUUGCCAAAUCUCGGAGACAAUCACGCCAGAUGGCAAGCAACGAAAGGAAAACAGAGAUAAAAUAGUAGGAAGAUCUUAAUACUGUAUUAGUGAUGCCUUCGUAAGGAAAAAUGCUAUCGUUAUCACAGUGGAUCGAAAAAACCAACCAACAUUCUCUUCAAAAUACAGUAUCAUUUGCAUCUUUUUUCAGAUAGUUGAAAUGUUGGAUUCGUAGGACACGCUAGCCGAGGGGGAAAAAAGGGUAGUAAUCAGGAAGAAAAAUAGGAGAUCGUAUGGACUAUUACAACAACCUACUAAACCAUGAUACGUACCAUGUACUCACAUCAUAACAACCAUCGCUAUCUGAAACUAGCUACGAUGACUAACAUAGUACUCGAAGCUUCGCCCUUAUCCGCCAUCAUCUAACCAAUAACCUCGUGGGGAGCACUGGGUUUUGUGCUUUGGCACAGCACAGCAGGCAAGACCUAAUACGCAAAGCAAGCUGCAGUCUGGUAGGGCCUCAUCAGCACCUCCAAACCGUACCGAUCUCUCUCGUUGAUUUCAGGGAGUAAAAUUAAAAACUGUGAGAGUGCACUAACACUAACCUCGUGCCGGUGUCGCGGAGGUGAAUCGCGGAACCGAUUCAGCCGAGAUGUAAGGCUGUCCACACCGCGCGCCGCUAAACCCGCUGCAGCGCGGUACUGGAUGGCUGCCGCUAUGGAAGCGGUCGGUCGGUGGACUGCUACUCCUGGAGGACGUGCCUGCCGCCCGCUAUCCGCUUCCCGAGGUUCCGCGCGGAGAGAGAGAGUUGGGAAGAGAGAGGUAGGGGAAGGGAGGGGAAAAAUAUGGAGUAGUUAGUAUAGAGUAUGAGAUAGAGAUAACACAAGUGUGGAAGAAAUGAAUAUAGAGUAGAGAAUCUCGAUGACUAGGAUAGAAUAUUCUUUUUAGAGUAUGAAAAUAGAGGUUGACGAGUGUGGAUAGCUUAACCCCGCUACGAAUUCGGAUGGCAACUUGACCUUGUAGUGGGAGGACUAGGAGGAGGGCGGCGACUUUUAUUUACCAGUUGACCGGGAUCCAAUUCGAACAGACCGCCAUCACGGCAGAGAGCACGAGCGUAUCAACCUCCAGACUCCAGUCGUCGACUUUCCCCAAGGUGAAGGGAUUUUUUUUAAGGCUUGAUUUGGCAGCAAGGGAGUCAAACCCUAGGGAGCAAAGCCACCAGGAGGAUUUUAGUGGCAAAUCAAUUUUUCGGUGGUAAAUCAAUAGGCCGGGAGGAUCUCCCCACCUAGGUUUGGGAACCAAAAGGCUAAAUUCCUCUUUGGAGCAAAAAAAAAUACUUCAAAAAAUUAAAAUAAAGAAAAAUAAGAAAUAAACAUUCUUGUUCAAAUAAAUGCAUCCUUGUUCAAACGCAUUCAAAUAGCAUAGAUGGUGAUAAAUGGGUGGGUGUGAGUGGCUGACCCAAAGCGACUCGGGAUGUGCUGAGUAUAAUGUAUGUGUGCAGAAGAUGGGAAGUGAUGGUCCAAAUCAAAACUCUCAUCCCCAUUACUCAGCUCAAUAACAUCAGCAGUUCAACACAGUAGUAAUAAGCAGUAAAGCAUUACAUACUUUAGCACAAUUACGACUACAACGACCGGUGAUUCUCAGUAGAAAUAGAGCAUUCAAACAUAGCACCUAUGGUUUAGCUAGAUGCUUAGCUAAAAUAAACGCAUUCAAACAGUACUGAAACUGAGCACAUAUGGUUUAGCCAAUUCCAGCCACAUCCCUAUUUCCAUCGGUAAUAAAACAUAGCACAGAUAGUUCAUUCCAUCCCAAUGAUACCAACUUGGUUCUGAUCGUGUGGUAGUUAGCUCACUGAAGUAUAGAUCAUGAGAGAUCUACACUCAGAUUAACAAUUAAAGGCUUAGAUUCAGCAUAUAAUUCAAAGCAGACAAAUAUAGACAAAUAGACAUGUUAAUCAAUAGUUAAGUUAAUGAUCAAGAUAGUAAUUCAUAGAAGCUACAGAAGGUUAAUAAUUCAGAAGCUACAGAAGGUUAAUAAAUUGUCACAGAAGCUACAAAAGUUAGCAAUUCAGAAGCUACAGAAGGUUAAUUCAGAAGCUACAAAAGGUUAAUAAUUGUCAUACACUGAGCAUAUUCAAAGAGACAUACCUAAUUUUUUGCUUUAGCCACAUUAAUCAAACAUUAGGAUUCUUGGUUGUAAUGAAUAUCUUCCUAUGUGUCUCAAACUCAAAGACAUCGAAAGCAUAUGACUUCUCGUUAUCGGUUAAUUUAGACAUAGCAUCCACUUGAUCAAUACACUUCUCAACUGAAAAUUCUUCCUCACGCACUUUCCUUUCUUCAAGAGCUUGCAAAGUUUUUCUGGUUUGGCUCUUUUUGUACUCCACAUAUCCCUCAAGAGCAGAUCCAAUGUGACUUUGCUUACGCUUUCUCCCACUUCACCAUCUUCCUAUAUUGAAUCUUGAGCUUCAUUGCAUUUAUUAUGUGCACUAGAAGUCUCUUGGCCAUCGAAACUCGAAGCAAAUGGAUUAGCAUCCAAGUGACUGCUGCUUUAUUCAAAGUUAUUUCUUUCAACAGGAGGUGCAGGAGGAGGAACAGUAGGAGCAACGGGAGGAGGAAGAGCAGGACGUGCAGGAGCAGAAGGUGGAUCCACUUGCAUGGUUGAUGUGAAGUUUAGUUUUCCUGUAGCAACACUUCCUUUUUUCAGGAGACAAUUGUAACUCAUAUUAGAACCACAAAAUUGUUUGAUACUGAAAGCAAUGAAAUUAAGCUAUGCAAGUGAGGAAACUUCACCUACAUAAAUUAAGCUAUGUAGCCUUUCGUUGCUAACAUUGUGUGAGAGCAUAAACAUGAACAUCCCAAGCUGCUCCUCAACAGCAACACCUCGUGUGUCAUGGAGCAAAUUCUCUCUUCUAAGAAAGCCUGCUGUGACUUUAAAUAUUUCAGACUCCAUUCAGAACUCAACUUUACACCAACUCAGGUGACCUUCAAGGAUUUCCUUAACCUUUUUAGCACCAGGAAGAGAAGAUGUGUGCACAGACAUUUUCUCUUCUUGUAGGUAUGGAAUUAUGGCAGGAACAAGUACAAAAAAUAGCUCAUCAUCCUUUUCCUCCUCCAACAAGAACUGCCUAACUUGCUCCUCCCAAAAUCCCAUUUUCUAAUGUACGUAUAUAUAAAUCAUAUUCUUAAUUAGCGCAAUGAUCUAAGCAUUUAUCAUAUACUUAAUAAUAAAAAAUAGGAAAUGAAUACACGCAGCAAGUAAGAGAAAAUGAUAGCGCCCAUAUAUAUCUAAACUAAGAGAAAUCAGGCUAACAAACCAAUAUAGUAACCCAUCAAAUAGAACAAUAAAUCAACAAGAGCAGCCAACCAAUAACUUUCAGCUUGGAUUUCACCAUAUAGCCUAGAUCCCUAGAAAAAUAGGUUCCUAAAAGAUUUCAUACAAGGCUACAACCUCAUAAAUAAUGAAUUAUCGGAAAGGACAGAAAAGAUGAUGGCAUCAAACAGGGUUGCAUAUGUCAGAGUGAUGCACGAAUAGAGUUUUCAAUUAAUAGAACAAUUCCGCCAGCUGACAGCAUAUGAGCCAACUUGCCACAGUAAAAUAGCAUUCAACAUCACAUGUCAGUACUUCCCCAAUAAAAGAAAAGGCGCUCAUUUUUUCUAACCACAAUAUAGCUAGAAUCAAUCCAAUCUCCAAUUCCACAAAUCAUCAUAAUACAAGUACCAAAAUUUUCUUUUUAUGCCUGUGAUGAUGUGAAUAGAAGUAUACAAGCACCAUAGAGUCUAGCAUAGCCACACAUCAUGCCACAAACCAAAAACAUGUCUGGUGCUGAGUUACUUGACUAGAAUUUUUGUUGACAAAAGUUCAAGCUCAUAACUGAUCCCUGUAUGAUUGAAUUAGUUUACGUCACCUAAUAUCACUAGAAGUAAAAAUUCCAAACAUGUAUUUCCUGAUCGGUUCUAUAGUUCCCAAUUAGCCAUCAGAAUGAAUAUGAAUAAAACUCGCCACUUCACAUCAUUUGGAUCAAAUAUGCAUGAACAGCUACACAAAGAAAUGCGACACACAAAUCAAAAGAUGCUUUACACAUUAAAAUGAAUCAAUAUGCUAAACCCAAUAAAUGGAUGCCACAUCCAGGCUAAGGUACAAUACCAGGAAAGGAAAAAAAGAUUUAUGCUCUUAACGAAUCUAGGGCUUCAUCCAGAUAAACCAAUCAUUUGUACAAUGAAAAACAAACCAAUACUUGAAAACACUACCUCUAGACAUGCAGAGAUAGAUACUAGAUACAAAAGAAUAUCAUUUCUACGUAUAAAAAAAUCAGAAAUGCGGCACCUCCUACUUCCAAACAUAUUUGGAUCAAAAUGAACAUUCCUACAAUAGAAAUGGGACAACUCCCUACCAGAUCUUUGCGUAUUCAUACACAUUUCAGCAUCAAAAGAAAGAUUCUUAUAGACAAAAGAAAAGAGUAAAAGGUGGCACCUGAUGGCUGAUGGGGAGGCGGAGGUGGCAGGGGAGUCCGAAUCUAGCAAGUCCCCCGCCGUAGGAACUGCGUCAGUGUCGGGGAUAGAUCCCCAGUACCUGCAAGGAAGGAAGAAGGCGGAUUCCUACUAGAAUUCCCCUGUAAUCCUACUACGAUUCAUACCACGUAAUCCUACUAGGACUCCUCCUUAUAACCGACUAAUUAUCUCACCCCCGGAGUAUAUAAAGGAGGGCGAGGGUACCGUCUGCGUCCCAUGACCCGAGUACAAGGUGGAGCCCAGUCGGAAUCGUGCUCUCCAUCACCGAGUUGUACUCGGCUUUGCCGAAAACCAAAAGCUACACACCACCAGAAGAAAAUGUAUUGCUAUCUCUGCAGUGUUUCGGAGGCGGGCAAGAAAAUUGCCAACCCGCGAAUCAAGAAAAACAAAAAAAA